UUAACUCAAAUUUGUAUGGAGUCGGAACAUUUGCCUACGUUUACCGCAAGGGGCGCUGUUCCAAUUGUAUACAAAUAUGAGUUA
This is a non-coding RNA of Bombyx mori (domestic silkworm), 84 nucleotides long. The record is from Rfam. Lineage: Eukaryota; Metazoa; Arthropoda; Insecta; Lepidoptera; Bombycidae.